Molecule: long non-coding RNA, 273 nt
Organism: Fundulus heteroclitus (mummichog)
Lineage: Eukaryota; Metazoa; Chordata; Actinopteri; Cyprinodontiformes; Fundulidae
Exons: 3
Source: RefSeq, a predicted model, not a curated record
UCAAUGGUUGGCUCGAAUCCCACAGGGAUGGAAUCCAGAGGACUUUUUGGUUGAUGUAAUUAAACUAAACUAUGGGAAUGGGGAAGAGGACCCAAUACAGAAUGUGCGUUUCUACAGAAAGGAAAAUCCAAGUGAAGCCAUCCAAUUGAACAGAGAGGAAGUCUCUCGCCUUCUUCCCGAAACAUUUGCUGAGCAAACGGUCGUAAUCUACUACAAGGGGACAGAAAAUCAGACUCUGGAUGCUGCAACGGAGCUUUAUAGACAAUGGAGGAA